RNAcentral lists this ribosomal RNA (420 nucleotides) under uncultured bacterium. RNAcentral describes it as "partial 16S ribosomal RNA". It matches the Rfam family "Bacterial small subunit ribosomal RNA", at positions 361 to 773 of the family's 1533-position model. The record is from RNAcentral.
AUAUUGGACAAUGGGGGCAACCCUGAUCCAGCCAUGCCGCGUGCGUGAAGAAGGUCUUUGGAUUGUAAAGCACUUUAAGUUGGGUGGAAGGGCUUUAGGUUAAUACCAUGAAGUUUGGACGUUAUCAACAGAAUAAGCACCGGCUAACUCUUUGCCAGCAGCCGCGGUAAUACAGGGGGUGCAAGCGUUAAUCGGAAUUACGGGUCGUAAAGCGCGCGUAGGUGGUUCAGUAAGAUGGGUGUGAAAUCCCCGGGCUUAACCUGGGAACUGCUUUCAUAACUGCUGAGCUAGAGUACGGUAGAGGGUAGUGGAAUUUCCUGUGUAGCGGUGAAAUGCGUAGAUAUAGGAAGGAACACCAGUGGCGAAGGCGACUACCUGGACUGAUACUGACACUGAGGUGCGAAAGCGUGGGGAGCAAAC